UUUUUUUUAUUUCUCCUCUCUACGACUUUUUCAUCUUCUUCGUUUCUCUCUGUCUCGAGUCAACAAUCCGACAAACACAAAGCUUUCAAUCUCUUUUCUUCUUUUUUUUUCUCUCUUUUCUCGAUUCCAUCGAUACUCAUUCAUCUUUUUCAUCUUCCCUCUUCACUCGUUUCUAUCGAUCCAAAGAUCCGUCCUCUCCCUUCUUCUUCGUGAGAAAUUCGCAGUGAAAUCGAGAAAUCCGCCGUGAGAAAUCCGCCGUGAGAACUCCGCCGUGUCUUCUCUUUGUAAGAUUUCAUUUGUUUGAUCCCUAAUUUUGUUUUAUUGUGUUGGGUUUAAUUAGGAUUUGAUUUCUUCCAAUUUAUUCUUCUAUGUGAGGGUUUGAUAUGUAAUUCUCUUUGAUUUUGUUUGAAACAAAUGCAUUUUGAAUGGAAUUUCGAUUACAAUUAGGAUUUUUUAUGAUUACAGUUCGGAUUUUAAGAUUACUAAUAGGAUUUGAAUUACAAUUCGGGUUUGAAAUUCGGACGACAUGUAGCUACUUUUUCUUGUUUUUAUUUGGAGAUAUUGAGUGAAAGUUGUAACUUUGUUUGUAAACUCUUCUUAAAAUGAUUGAUUUCUCUUGGUCAAUUUUGGAAGAAAUCUGGUUUCAAGUAAGUUAAUAAGGAGUGGAUUGCAGACAUAGAUGAAAUUUUUUGUACGUAUAUAUUAGCCUAUAACAUUUGUUUCUCUAUUACGAGAGGAGGAAAAGGAAAAGGAGACUGAGACUGAGACUGAGAAGGAGAAGGAGAAAGAGAAGGAUAAGGAGAAGAAGAAGCAGAAGAAGACUUGGUGUGUUCAGAUGUGUUUUGGUUUCUAAUGUUAUGUAUGAAUCUAAGUGUUUAGGUACAACUGGUACACUUAUGUACAACUAUGUAUCUGGGUUUGUAUGAAUCUAAGUUUUUUUGACAGAAAAAUCACCAAAAAACUAUGAGUCAAAGUGUUUUGAUCAAAAAAUUCACAACAACACUAUGAAUCUACUAAGUAU
This 1021-nucleotide long non-coding RNA is filed under the name Arabidopsis lyrata. RNAcentral describes it as "long non-coding RNA (ALYR_LNC001550)". The record is from RNAcentral. Lineage: Eukaryota; Viridiplantae; Streptophyta; Magnoliopsida; Brassicales; Brassicaceae.